UAAUGGGCCACAGCUGAAGCAGGCAGGAAGGAGGUUCUGUCCCCUGCCAGUGCAGGUAUGCCAGCAGUGAUGCAAGAGGGAUGAAGGCUUGAUCUGCUGGUUGUGUCCUCUUUACUUUCUCUUACUCUUGAAUGGGUGAAGUCUUGCCUGACUGUUUCAAAAGUUUUAUCAAGCCUUGUAUGAUAACUAAGAAGUCCCUGUCUGGAGAUGAUGGAGCAUAAACAGGCAGAAGCUGCAUCAUGUUAGAGGACUUGUGACUACUGUUCAGUGGUGUUUCCUGUGAAAAACCCAUCUGAGCCAUGCUCUGGAGUCUGCCCAAGCUUCAGUUUUCUGGUGAGUUUAAAUAUUCUUACUCACACUUGGGUUGCCUUGAAUGUUUUGGAUCCUUUUCAGGGGGCCAUGGUUGCCCUGUGGAAUAAAGGAGGCUCCAUAUACUGAUGCAUGGACAACUCUCUCCAGUUUGAACAGAGGCAAUCAUUGGCUUCUUCAGUCUGCUGUUUGUGAAGGAAAAACAUCUCUUAUUGUCUGGAUUUGUUCAGUCACAAUUGCACUCUCCUGUAGCUUAAGCCUUAUGGAAUAAGUUACAUUUAAAAUUAGAAGAUGAAGAAUAUGCAAAUUUCCUCAGCUGAACCAAAUAAUCAGGAUAUGUGAAAUGUCUUGAAAAACUUCACAUGCUUUGGCAGAAAUGCCAUUCUCUGCCAUAUGAAAGAGCAAGCAAAUUAAUAUAUUGUGUCAUAUGAUAGGAUGAAAGGUUAGUGAUACACUAAUGGGUUCAUGCACAAUAAUUUCUACAAACUGAUCAGAAGGCAAAAAAAUGUAAUAACAAUUGUUUUAUUUUAAUCAGAUUGUUAUUUCCAGUUUCAUUUAAGUGAAAGAUUGCCCACAGUUUCUGUUUCAUCUUAGAAGCUCUUCUGCAAUGAUCCUGUUUUUCUGCUACAUUCUGGGAGGCUGGAAAGUUCUACAAUGGUAGGAUCCUAGGAAUCCUGUGAGAGGACACUUGAGGUCCAUCUGCAAAGCUCUUGGAUCAUGGAUAAUUUCAUUGCUUUCCAUUAAGUAUGAAACUGGCAGCAAGUUGGCAGUUCCCAGGGUGAGGUCAUGAGCUUUGGUUCUUUUACAUCUGAACUUACAUAACACCUUGUUCCUUGGUUAACUUCAUAUUUGAACAUGGAAGAAUCUUGCUUUGAUACUUGAAACAAGAUGGUUUUGAGCCACAGAAUGUAUGAAACCUAGUUUCCUGCAGUUUGGUGCCCUUUAUCCUCUUUAAUACCCCAAUGGGGCAAAAGUCUGGUAAACUACUCUAGAUGUCAGAUUUCCCUGUGUGCUGCUCAGCCAGCCAGUUGCUAACAGCAUCCAUAGCAGCUGAGUUUAGCCUGCUCUUCCUUCCAUCUUCGAAAAUUAAUUUCCUGAAAAUUUGCUGCAGGGUUAAAAAAAAGACUGGUGCAGAGGGAACCACAACAGAGGAUCAGAUGGUAUGAUCAAAACUGUGUAAUUUUUUUUAGGAAACCUGCUAAGAUUGAGUAAUUUGGAUAUAAAUCAGAAAGCAUAAUGGAUUGGACCUCAGCAGUUUCCUGGCUCCUGUGCUCUGUGCCAGAGACUAAAAUUGGUAUUCGGGAGUCCUGUAUUCAUGGGGAAUUUUUCAGAUGGAUACCAGCCAGCAGCACAACCCUGGGGCAUCUUCUCUAAAGAUGAGUCCACACUGAGGGCCUGUGAGAGCUGAGCAGAGCACGGGAGAUGCACAGUGUGCACUGGGGCUUUGUGGCUUCUGAGUCCCCUGGCUGACCUCCAGGGCUGUGUGAAUCAUCACAGGCCCAGCAGCAGAGGUGGGAAUGCUGUAAAAUGCAAUUUAUUUCAUUUCCUCUUCCUGUACACCAAGUACUGCAAUAUAUGCAGAGGUCUAAGUAAAUGAUUUUGGAUGCAGAGCCAUAAAUUUCAAUCACACACACUCUAAGAGAUUUUUUAAAACAACAACAACAAAAAAUCACAUAUUGUUCUCAUGUACCCUUUAGUUACUUUAUAGGACUCCCUCUGUUCGUGACUGUUUCUGUUAUUGUUGGAAGAAUAAACCUCCUCAAAAUAGAUCAUCGUAAGGAUGGAAUCUGUCCAGUGACCACUUAAAUAGAAGCUUGCUGCCAGAACCAGUUUAUUUCAGCUGUAAUCACGAGGUUUUUUGUGCACUUAUUUGUUUGUUCUUCAAUGCUGUCUGUAAUAUUGAGAUGCUCUGCUAGUGUCUUUAAUGUUAUCCAAUGUUUUUCCAAAACAAAGUAGAUAAAUACAUAAGAAAAGGUCAGAGAGAGAUCCUUGGGUUUUUCCAACAGACAGGAAAGCCUAAUAUGUCAUCAGGUGUCCACCAUACCUCGGUUACCUCAGUAUGGACCUGUUAUUGGCAACAAUAUGUAUUUUCUUCUGCAAGAACUAACUUAGAUUGCUUGUGUUACUUGUAUCAUGUGUGCUCUUUGAUAGGUGCUGCUCUGAAGCUUUGCUGUGAAAAGGAGGAUGGGCUUGUGUUUCAGCCAUAUAACCCAAAGUUAGGGUGUCUGGGUUUUUUCCCUGACAGUAUAAUGAAUUUCAGCAAACCUGCCUGGGUAUCUUGUGCCCUUUUUCUCCCGUCGUUUCCUCAUCUUCUGUACAGCGAUUUUCAGAAGGGAAAAAUAGGAGAAAGUUAAUUUGAUUGUUAUCAGACACAAACAAUUAAGCAACUGUUUACAGACAGAUCGCAGUCAUUCCUGUGUGGAGUCCAGAGGUGUCUCCUCCUUUCCUGGGUUGUACCCUGAUGGAUGACACAGUGUGCUGCCCCUCUGUCCCCAGCGCACUGGAGGGGUGGGGGGAAAGAGCACAAGCCAGAAGGAAGGUACAUCACUGUAGCAGUGUUCUUUGGGAGAAAAUAAACCUUUAGGUGUGUUUCAGACAAGUGCCUGGAGAAGCAGAAGCACUCUCCUGUCAUGGUCAGGGAGGACUUUAGCCCCCCUGAGCUUCUAGAUGUACUGCCCCUGCAAAGUGCAGGUAGAGGCAGCUGUCAGGGAAGAGCAGGCAGGAGGAGUUGAACAGUGGUUAUAAACCAUGAUCACAGGUUAAGUGGGAAUCAUUUUGCUAGAAAUGCCAUGUGAUAGGGAAUUUGAAUACAUGAGCAAAGGGCACUGAUGGGACAGAACCUGGAAACAGCACCAGCUGGAAAGACAGGUCCUGCUGGAGCUGUAUCAGCACCCACUGUGGUGUCCAGCUCUGCCUGCGUGCUCGGGCUGGCUUGGAGGUGUCUCAGGUCAUGAGCACCAUGUCCUGAUAUCAUGUGAGUUCCCACACAGGCUUCAGGUAGAGGCAGAGAUUUCUGGAGAGGAGGGGAUCCUGGUGGCCACUUCCCUCUGCAAAACCUGCACAGGGAGGCUGAGGAAGUCAGAACUCCAUGUAUGCAAAUGCAGGGACCUUGUGUGCAAGAGCUUGGAGGAUUGGGAGGCACACGGGGCAGGGAGGGAAGAAAUCAGUCUCCAGCAACUCAGGUAGGUUAGACAGAGAUGUCUAAAGCAGACUGCAGGGAGAAGGAUCUGCAGUAAAAUUUGGAAAGGCCUUAUCUCAAGUCAGGCAGGUCUGCCUUCAGGCUGGGGCUCUCUUUUAGGCUCUGCCAAGCCCCUGGGGUGAAGUUCAAGCAGUGCUUCACUUUGCAAGGGCCUGUUGGCCCCAAGCCCAUGGGAGCUCCUGAACAAGACUAUGGGAGAAUGCUGAAGGCUCUCUUCUGCCCCAAAGAGUUCAUGUAUCCUGAAUACAGAAGGUUCUUCUCCACCUCAUCUAUUGUCCAUUUAUCAUAUAGGAACAUCAUUACAGAUACUUCAGGAGAAGCCAUACUUGCAGAAGUAAACUGUAAUAACAAAAUUUCAUGUGCCUAUAAAGAGUACCUUAAUACUGAAGUGCAUCACAAGCCAGAGAUGCACAGAUGCUCGCCAGAAAACCACCACAGCAUUGGGUAGUCUUUUCUCUGAUAGAAAAGCUCUCAGAAAUCAAAAAUGUACCUCAGUCUCCUCUUAAAUGGGAUGUGACAUGGUUUUACAUUCGCACAUGCAAAUGUUGUUUGUUUGAUUCACACAGGAGGAUUGGUUUAUUUGGUAUAAUUAGAACUAAUCUAAUUAGUUUGCAGGGCAUAUGCAAUGGGAAUAUUUCAUGUGACUUGCAAAGAUAAGGCUCUCUUCUCUUGAAGAACAGAGGCCUUCCUUGAUGUUGACCAGAAUGCAUUUAGUUUGCUAAGAACUCACUGCCACAACAAAAUAGAAAUUCAGGUGGAACAGGAUAUAAUUGCUGCAGGUACUUUAAAACCACCAGAUUGCAUUUCUGAUGACUAACAUGCAAUUAGCACCGUAACAGACCUGCUUGCUGGAAGGGGAAAGGCAUAAAACUUGUUUCUUACAUCCCUCAUGUACAUGGUAAGAACAAAUCCUACUGGCUGUGGAGGAAAGACAAAGCAAUCCAUGUACCUGAACAAAAAUGUGCAUCAGCCUACUGACAUUUAAAUCUUGUUCUUCUUGCUCUUCUUCCCUCCAUUUUAAGAUCUGGCUGUGGUUUUUUUGCAAGAGAGUAAGUCCCACCAAGGAGCCUGUUCCGUGAUACUGAAAUUUGCAAGGGUGUUGGAGAUUAAAUAAGCAUAUUGCCUAAGGCUGAGCUGCUAAGAACAACUGUGGUUUUUUACUUAGCUAUUCUCAGCAGGAGAACCAGGCAAUUGCAAGUGAGAGUUUCAAGGCAAGUGUAAGUUUCAAGACCAAGAGGCAUAUUCACUCCCAGGGUUAGAGAGUUAAUCUGCCUCUUUAAACUCCUCUUUAUGGCCAGCACCCUGAAUCAUUCCCAGCACAGGUGGCUGAGACACACAGAGCUCCCUGCCCCAAAUGCUCAGUGUUGCAAUCCUGUCACUCUCUGUGAAAGUAUUGGUGUAUUGUGGUUCAAAGGAACUGAUCAAAUCUACUUGUGCUGACUGCUGCAUCCCUGAGGACAUGUGCUGUUAGUCCUGACAAGCAGGGACUUGGUUCUUGUGUUUUGGUUGGUUUGGCCAGAUCUUAACAGAGGUGUAGAACAGGACUUUUCCAGGUGGGAAACUUCCUGUCUAAGAGAAGUCUGUGAAAGUAGCACAAUAUUCUGGUUACUAGAAAAGUCUUGUUUCCUCCUUCCUGAGAGGGUACCUUUCAAAAAGACAGUCAUUGCUCGUCACAGCCUCUGCUUUCACCAAGCAGUAAAUAUUCAGCUCUCAAGUUCCCUCCUGAAUUCUUAUUUCCAGUGGCUUUGCUUGCACUCUGAAUCUCCUUCUACUCAUCUUGCAGCUCUCUGGCAGUUGCAGGCUCAGAACUAAGCACAGCAUCACUGUAGCUACAGGAGAUUCCUACAGCUCAAACUACGUUUUCCUGAUCUGAACCAGCAUGGCCUCAGAUCUAUUACUGUCAGCACCUUUCUACUGCACAGUUGGCUCCCACUCUCUGAACACUAGUAGUCCAGACUUUUCCUUCAGCUUACAUUAGGCUUAUAUUGGCUCAAAUAUAAUUAGAUACCUACUAAAAUUGAUAUCAAUUUAGACAAAUUGUCUAAAUAGAAUUUGUGGCUUUUUUUCGUCCACUGUUGCUCAGGUAAAUCUCUCUCUCUGUCUUCUACAUUAGGACAUGGGAGGUGGACUAGAAACAAAAGCAUUCACUCAUAGAUGUUUCUGAUUGAUAACUAACCCUAAUCACAGUCACAUAAACCUCUGAAACCUCCUAAAUGCUUGUAUCAAAUGCCUUACUAAAAGCCAGUUAAUCUGUUUUUAUAAUCUCCUCAAAUUAUUUGUAACUGUCAACAAAUUAAGUAUCUUUGCUCAUUGAGGUAUGUUUUUUCCUCAGUCUGCUAGCAAAUCCCUGGUGUUCUGCCACUUAUCUGAGUGAUAUCACUUACCAAAACUGUGGUAAGUCCAUUAUCUGAUUCCUUUACUGACCAAUACAGCAAAUUGUCUGGAUUCCCACUAUGCUGCAGUAAGCUCACAUUUCACAAAUAUUUUCUUACUUGUUUCCAUCAGUUACUUCAUGACAUCCUUAUUGAUUUUCAACCAUCCCUCAUUUCGAGUACUUUUUAAAUAGAUUUCCACCAUUUCAGUUUUAUCAAUCUCAAUUCAGAGUUCCUGUAUUAAUAGGCUUUUCAUAUUCCUUUCCCUCCCCAGGCACAUUUAUGAAAGCUCUUCUUCCCUCAGCCUUCUGGUCACUGUUAAUUUAUUGUUGUGGAUGCCCUUAGCUUGUUCUCUGAGGUUUAAAUCCAGCCAGCUGAUCAUUUGCAGUCCAUCUUCCCUCAUUCACUGUAAGGCUACCAUGCCACUUGCUGCUGCACAUUGUGAAACUACAGAGCAUGGGGCUACUGUGAUGUUUCAUUUUUAAGACCUAAUUGUAAUGCUCUCUGAGGUUCACAGGGUUGGGUUUUUUUCCUUCUUAGAUGCUAAAUCACAUUUUGAAAUCUGCCAAUGCUGCUAAUAUAUGAGGAAAAAGGGCAGAGAAAAUUCCAUUUGUUAGAUGCUGGGCUGCUUCCCCAGCUGGGCAGCAGAGAGUUUUUCUCCUGUAGACAGCCAGCCUCAAAUGCUGCUGUCUGGGGAUUAAUCCAGGAUAUCUUGAAAACCAAAACUCCAUUCUUCAAAUUAGUUGUUUGCACCACACUGCAGGAAUUUCAGUGACUCAUAAAUCCUGUUAUUUCAAAGUAAGGGAAGUACUUGAAAAUAUCACAUGGAGCUUGAAUGUUCCAGCCCAUUUCACAGACCAAGAUUUUCAGCUAAUCAGGGGACAUUACACAUCUUUUCUUGGACACUCACCUCAUGUUUCCUGUUCUAAAUCAAAAUACAGUAAGUGACAUCUGUGAGUUUGCUGCCACCCUAUAUAUGUUUUUAUAUGCCAGAUCACAAUAUUAUCAUGUUCUGGGGAGCAGCCAUAUACCAAACAAACAAACAAAAAAUAACAGUUGCAAAAAGGAGAAGUUAAAAAAAUGAAAGAAUUGUAGCUAAUAGAAGAUAUUGUUUAGCCUCCUUUGUGCUUGCAAUCAAUGUUGAUAUAAAGUAUACCAAAAGCAGAAAAGGAUGAACAGGAAAAAAAAAAUUGGGAUAAUUUUCCUUGGUCUAAUAAAUUGUUGCCUAUUUUCUGCAGUUUAGUGAGCCCCCUAGAGUAAUAUUAUUCCCUUCCCUUCUGUCCUAUCCUUAUCCCUACUUCUGCACCCAGCUUGCCUUUGCCAGAUAAGUCACAUCACACUGCUCCUGCCAGCAUUUCAGAAGCUCAUUUGUAAAAACACCAAAUCCUAGUACCUCUGUAACAGUAAUUUAAAAAAAAAAAUUAAGGGCGAGGAAAUUAUUUUAAAAACCACAUUUGAUCAAACUUUUUUAUUUUUUGUCAUCAGGAAUACCUCAUUUAAUCUUUGUUUAUUAAUGGCAAUGUGACCUAACACUUAAAAAUUCCCUUCUUCCACUAAGUCUCUAUGUGUUAGAAGGAUGCUUGAGAACAUCAAGCCAAUAUUGUCUGGCUGUGUGCAGGAGAAUAUCCAUAUUUUUUGCCCUUACACUUUUUUUUAAAAAAGCAAAAUACUUCCAUUUAAGACAACACAUGCUCACCUUUAAGCCUGGGAAGCUCCUAGAGAAGUUUAGCAGCAACAGGCUGCUGAGAUAUGUAACACCUGCAAUUUCAGCCACAUCAGCACUGAGCACUCACAGUGAGGAACCUGGAUCUCCAUGAAGGCUGCAGUGUCCACCCCCAGCCUACCAUCCUAGCUGCUGUUCCAGUCAUUCCCACUCUUUUAGCAAGCCAGUCUCUGACGGACCUGUGGUUGGAUACACGACACAGGUGAAGUUUUAUGUAGGACCAUGAGGUCCAUACUGAGAACUGAAAUGUUAUCUGCAAGUGUUAAAGAGGCCACUGAUUUAGUUAUGUGUAUCCUGAAGUAAACUUUUGCUUUCCUCUUGAAGAUGAGGUCUGGCAAUUAUAGACUACUAAGGGGAGGGUCUGGUCAAGAGCAAAUGUUCUCCUUCCCUGAGUCCAGAUGUCCUUUGGAAGACUCCUGACUCCUGCUGUAGUGUCUUGGCAGCAAAGCUGAUCCCUUAACACCAUGACUUCAGGAGAGGCAACGUUAGUAUAUGCACCCAUCAAGUUUUCAGAACCUGACAACAAAGUGCCAUCAUUCACAGAAAGGCAGUUUUGCUAUUGCUUGCAAAGUUUCACCUAAGAGGCACCAAAAUAACAACCCACAAGCUCCUUCUGCAGGAUAAAUGCUUUCAGGGCUGUAUGACAUUCCUGCAGGCUUGGUGACCUCAGGUGAAACUACUAAAACCAGCUGAAUUGUGUCAACUGGCACAGGAACUGGCUCCCAGGGGACAGAAGGGUGUAGUGUGGCACAGACCACACAGGAGCCAUACCUCUCUCUCAACUCACAGUCCUCCAACAGUGCACAAACCUUUGAAGAGGCAUAAGAAAAGGCUGUCCAACAAAAAGCACCUCCACUGCAUUUCAGGGUUCCAUUCACAGCACGCUCUGAAUACUUGACUAAAGCACUCUUUCUUUUGAUGUAACCUUUUCAUAAAGAGUGUUUACCCAAAAUUUCACAGGACAACAAAGAAAAGCAAAUGUUCCAUUUUAUUUUCAACAGUUCAUUUCUCAGAUGUAAAAAGUCUGUCCCAAAAUAACUUAGAAAUUAUAAAAUACAAUGUCCACAUGUUUAUACUGGUAAUUUUAUUCCUGCAGGAGACUUGAGAGAUUAAAAAAAAGUUAAAAGUAGCAUUUCAUUUCAUUUCAGAACAUGUUACUUCUGAAUAAACUUACAAGAUCGAAAGCAUUUAAGAGUUCUAAUGGUGGUGGCUUAAUAGGAAUCUUUCCGAUUGUGAACUCCUUUGCUUCAAACUGCUGCCACUCUUCAGCUGACAG
Long non-coding RNA from Passer domesticus (house sparrow), 8879 nucleotides. RefSeq lists it as uncharacterized. The transcript is spliced from 2 exons. NCBI's taxonomy places the organism in Eukaryota, Metazoa, Chordata, Aves, Passeriformes, Passeridae. The record is from RefSeq and is a predicted model, not a curated record.